GCCUUCGUGGUGUAGUGGUCAACACACUCGACGCGUAGCGUAACCGAGAGGUCCGUGGUUCGAUUCCCGGCGAAGGCG
Molecule: transfer RNA, 78 nt
Filed under: Stegodyphus mimosarum
Lineage: Eukaryota; Metazoa; Arthropoda; Arachnida; Araneae; Eresidae
Rfam family: tRNA
About the family: Transfer RNA (tRNA) molecules are approximately 80 nucleotides in length. Their secondary structure includes four short double-helical elements and three loops (D, anti-codon, and T loops). Further hydrogen bonds mediate the characteristic L-shaped molecular structure. tRNAs have two regions of fundamental functional importance: the anti-codon, which is responsible for specific mRNA codon recognition, and the 3' end, to which the tRNAs corresponding amino acid is attached (by aminoacyl-tRNA synthetases). tRNAs cope with the degeneracy of the genetic code in two manners: having more than one tRNA (with a specific anti-codon) for a particular amino acid; and 'wobble' base-pairing, i.e. permitting non-standard base-pairing at the 3rd anti-codon position.
Source: Rfam by way of RNAcentral